RNAcentral lists this long non-coding RNA (389 nucleotides) under Bos taurus (domestic cattle). RNAcentral describes it as "long non-coding RNA NONBTAT026168". The record is from RNAcentral. Lineage: Eukaryota; Metazoa; Chordata; Mammalia; Artiodactyla; Bovidae.
AAGAAUCCCAAACUUAAACAACUAACGGUCUCCAUUCCUCGCCCCCCCAGUAAUUAUUUGCAUCACAAAUAAGAGGUCCCCUCAUUUACAUUUAUUUACAGAUUAACUACUUGAGGUUUGAGUGGUUCUGAAAACUUCAAAAGGUAUUAGAGCCACCCAGCCUUUGAGAGACCUUCAGAGACUGGGCAGGAAUUUUGUAUGAAAGGAGAUAUUUGGGUCCAGAAGACAGGUAGGAUGCACAGAGGACUCUAGUCCCACUGCUGAACUGAGUGCUUCUGCUGACAAUAAGAGUCAUGGACACCUGUUAGCUGCUCAGCUUUCCUGGGAGUCUGGAAUGAGGCUUGUGAGUGCGGAAGUUUAACAGGUGACAGAGAUGACCCUUGUCAUCA